This is a small nuclear RNA of Echinops telfairi (small Madagascar hedgehog), 164 nucleotides long. Its record names the gene U1. It matches the Rfam family "U1 spliceosomal RNA". From Rfam's summary of the family: U1 is a small nuclear RNA (snRNA) component of the spliceosome (involved in pre-mRNA splicing). Its 5' end forms complementary base pairs with the 5' splice junction, thus defining the 5' donor site of an intron. The record is from Ensembl. NCBI's taxonomy places the organism in Eukaryota, Metazoa, Chordata, Mammalia, Afrosoricida, Tenrecidae.
GUACUUACCUGGCAGGGGAGAUACCAUGAUCACGAAGGUGGUUUUCCCAGGGCGAGGCUCACCCAUUGCACUCCGGGUGUGCUGACCCCUGCGAUUUCCCCAAAUGUGGGAAACUCGACUGCAUAAUUUGUGGUAGUGGGGGACUGCGUUCGCACUAUCCCCUG